Molecule: RNA transcript, 6243 nt
Organism: Cygnus atratus (black swan)
Lineage: Eukaryota; Metazoa; Chordata; Aves; Anseriformes; Anatidae
Gene: LTO1
Gene name: LTO1 maturation factor of ABCE1
Exons: 7
Source: RefSeq, a predicted model, not a curated record
UUGCCGUCCGCUCCCGGCGUGCCGCGCGCGGCGGGGCCGCGCUCGGGGCCUGGCGGCGUCAUGGCGGCCGCCGUGCCUCCGGCCCCCGGCCCGGACAUGUUCGAGGAGAUCGUGAUGGCCGAGCACAGGUUUCACGGCGAGGGGUAUCAGGAGGGCUACGCCGAAGGCUGUCACGUUGGAGCUGCCGAGGGAAGGAGGUAUGGAUCGCUCCACGGUGCCAAGAUGGGGUCCGAGAUUGGCAGCUACCUUGGCUUUGCACUGACCUGGCAGUGUCUGCUCUGCAAAUGCACAGAUGAAAAGAACAGUAAAAAGAUAAAGGCUCUGGAUUCGUUAAUAGGAAUGAUUCAGAAGUUCCCAUAUGAAGACCCCACUUACGAAAAGCUUCAAGAAGAUCUGGAAAAAAUCAGAGGAAAAUUUAAACAGGUUUGUUCAAUGCUAAAUAUUCAGUCUGAUUUUAGGGUCAGUACUGAAAGAUCUUCACUAACGUUUUGAGUGUAACAGAUGAAGAUAAACAUGGAUGAACAAAGAAGAAAUAUUAAAAGAACAGAUAACUGGAAAAGUGCUUACUCAUUUUAAACAAAGCGAAGAUCUGCUAAAUAUUAAAGUGUUCAUGCCAGUUUAGUCAGAGCUGAGCAGGUGUAGUCAAAGUCUUACUUGACUGGGCAGUCUUUGGCUUUCAGGAGUUCAGUGGAAGUGUGCACAGCCUGUGUCCCAGGAGCAGACCGUGCACUGCGGGUGGUGCCUCUGCAUCAGGAGGGCACGUGCAGAGUUAAGAUGCUGUGUCUGUGCCUUAUUCCUGAUACACUGCGAGCACCCAGUCUUUCUGCCAGUAGUUCCCUCUUCAGGUAAGAGCACUCAUGAAAAUUAUGGCUACUUAGUGAUUUCUUAGUAUGGCUAUGAAAAUGCUAAUGGGAUCAUCAAGAAACUGUUUGUUUUUGUUAUUGAAUGUCUAUUGUGCUAAAGAAGCAGAAGGGUAACUUCUGCCUUGCUCCUACGUUUGUAUUCCUUGAAUCAAAAGAGCAAAGUCAGAAGUCUGGCAAGCCUUAUGUUAUCAGUGCAAUCCAGUCAAAAAAUUUGCAAUCCCUUUCUCAUUAUUAUAUAAGAAUAUUUUGGGGGAACUCAGUCAAAAGCCAGAUGGGAAUCUUAUAUUUGUCAUGCUGCUGUAACUACCAUUAGCAGGUAUGUUUGACGGAUCAUAAAAACACCAUGUUUGUCUGAAAAGAUGAAUUUCCCAUAAAAUUAUGUUGGUGUGAAUUCGUUAUAAUGCCAUCAUUUAUAGCUUUACGGCCUUUGUCCCAUAGUAGCUUUUCAAUGCCACUGCUAGGAAUCUUUAUCAGAGUAUCUAGCCCACACACCUGGGUCAUUUCUAUGGUCCUUUGAAUUAGUAGCUUGAAACUUCAAUUUCUCUCCUAUGUUAUGAAGUUUUCCAUCACUUAAAAUGCCAAAUACACUUGCCUGUAAGUAAUUUCAGGUUUUUACAUUUAACAGACCUUUUUUAUUGUUUAAUAAAGAAUAUAUGAACUUAAUGUUUAGUAAAGGUACAAGCUUUGUCAGUCUGAAUUCAGCAGUGGAAUUGAGGAUGUUUUUGGGAAAUUUUUGGAGGUUUUUCUACGUAUGUUUCUCAAUCUGAUGUUAAUACAGUAUAUUUGCUUUAAAUGAGCUAGAGCAUAGCCUAGCUGAAUGUGCAUAUUUUUUACAGCCUAUAGUAAAUUGUUUUUCUUGCUACAUUCUUGUCCUGUCCUUUCCAAUGUGAAUAAUAUUGGCACAGUUCACCCAACAUUCAAAUUUAGGAGGCUGCAUUCAGAGAUGGUGUUUCAGAGAAGGAAAAUGUAAAUAACAGAGCUGACUGUAGGCUUAAACCUGUUCAAGGCACAGAAUAACCUGUCAGUUUAAUAGAUUAAAAAUACUCAUAGAAAAGGCAAAAACCACUUAACAUGUUCAACAAAAUGCAGGUUGAAAUUUCUAAUUAUUUUUUUCAGCAAAAAGCUUUUUGUCCCAAAUCAAUAUUGUAUGUAUGUCCUCAGUCAAAAUAUUUGAAAUUAGAAGGGUUGGUCAUCAGUGAUACAAAAGCCUUUUUCCUAUUCUUUCCUUAAAACAUGCUGAAAUUUUGCAGAAGACUGAUAUGAGAUCUGUGUGGGGACAAAAAUGAGUUUUUUGUCCAAUUUAAGCUUCAGCUUGAUCUGUAUUUAAAGUCACUAUAAAUCUCGUUUUAAACCGUCUUUCACUGCUACAUGAAUCUGCUUCAGUGGCCUGCCUGUGUAACUUGACCGUAUAGAGGAGGUGCCCAUGUCUAAUGGACAAAACUAUGGACCCACUAUGUACCAAUAGGAACCUCCCCAUCUGUGAAUUUAGGGUAGGCCAGGUGGUUUAGGUUUCUGACUGAAACGGCUGGGAAAUCAACAAGCUAAUACAGGCUCAGCUGCGAUUCUUCCGAUACAGGGGGCUUCCCGUCUAUUGGUAACUGCACUAGGACAAGCUGAUUUAGCACUAGACUGUGUCCAACAUGCUCGUGUUAACUUACAAGUUUUCAUUUUUCAUUUUGUUUACUGUAGCUAUUGCAUAGAAUCAGUUGUUCUGUGAAGCUCAGCCAGUGGGAAACUCAGAAGGCAGAUAAACAGGUAUCUGAUCUGAGAGACGAGCACUUGAUAUUUUACGUGUAUUUUAUUUUUUAGCCAAUAAUGACAUCACAUUUUCAUAGAGUAAAUAGUCAAUACAUAGGUUAAAAGCUUGACCAUUCACCACGAAGAAUAUGCUGUUUCUGGUGUGUCCAGUUGUUGCAAUUGGUAACAUGCAUUCCAUUUACACGUUUGGGACACAGCUUGUAAGUUUUUCUCAUUUUGUUUUUAUAAAUAAUCAUAUGUAAUUACUGUUAUAUUUUUGUCCUUCUGAAGUCCAGUUCUUUACGUAUGUUUAGUAGCUCUUAAUUUUUUAUUAUCUUAGUCAUGCAACAGUAAGAAGCGUAAGCUCUGUAAGAAGUAAGGGGAAGGAAGAUAAAGCUGUUUAACUUUACUUCUUUUAAAACUAGUUUCUGUUAAGGUAUUCUAGGACACAAAACCUUACACUGAUAAAUAAAUACAGACAAGCAUUCUGUACCAAACACCUACUUUAUUUCACCUUUUAUUAAAAAGAACCACCAAAUGGUAUUUUACUCUGAGUAAUUACCUUAGAUGUUUAAAAUAAUCUUAAGCAAAUACUUGUUUUGCUUUUUUAAAAUACACAUUACCGUGACAGCCAGUCACCUACCCAUUUCUAAAAAACGCCUACACUUUCCUAAAAUAAUGAUAGAAAAUUUUCAGCAUUGCAACUAUUAAAGCACGGAGAGUCAAAAUGAGAAAAUGUCAUGUGGCUUACUCAUUACAUUAGGUAGUUACUGCCAUUCAGCAUUCAUGAAAGUAAUAAAAAGACACAACAAGCAGACACUGGGUUUUACCAAUUUUAUUUCUAGACUUUAGGUUGUUGGUUUUUUUAAGAUUUUUUUUUUGCUGGAAACUUGUCUGUUACAGGUCUGUUGGUGAAAAUGUGCAUUUCAGACCAGUGAUGCCAAUAAGUACAAUAUAAAAAUGUACAAAUCUGAAUUGCUUGCUUACUACAGAUUGUUAUAAUAAUGUGACAAAUAAAGCAUCUCUGUUGGCACAUGAACCCACUUAUCUGGAUUUGGCCUUUUAGUACAUACAAUAUUUAAAGAAUUUUGCAGUACACACUGCCACUCAGUGUAACACAUAAUAUAACUGACAACCACUAACUCAGUAAUCACGUUUGGUUCAGAGACACAGAGAUGCCACGAACAGAAGUGUUUUAUGAGGUAAGCAGUAAAUGUUCCUGAAAUUUGGACAGAAUGUAUCCAGUCCUCCUGGGUCCUGCGACUGCUAGUAGCAUUGCAAUGCUUUGUUUAUGCACUAUGUAGGAUCUUAACUGCAUUUGCCUCAAAGAGUUCUAAUUCUGUUUUGGUUUAGCAGCAUACAGGCAACAGCUAGAUUAUUCUUCAGCAUACAACUCUGUUAGCUGGCUUAUUUAUGAGAUUUACAGGCGUUUUAAAUUAGCAUUAUGCUAUAAUUAAAAAAACAAAACAAAACAAAAAAAACCUAGUAUAUCAUAACAGAUUAAACACACAAAAUACUUAGAGUUCCAGAAGAUAACCUAUCAUACCAAAUGAUGUGUCCCAAUUGAUGGGAAAACACAUCAGGUGGCAUACAAGAGUUAUAUUAUAAUGCACCUUUCAUAUAUCAAUUGUGGCUAAUAACACAGCUUAAAACUACUAUGAUAAUAAAUCCCAGAUCAGACAAAGAAUCCAGCUUUAUAAAAUGCGCAACAACAAAAAAACUGACAUUACUUGAUCUUCUGAAAUGUCUGCCGUUUUUAAAUUAAUGCAACCUAGUUGCAAAUCGCGAGACCCAUUCAGAAUAACGUUCGAUGCAUUUCCAUUUGCAGUAGAACUAUGAGGCACUGUGUACGAACAUUAAAACCUGGUCUAGACACGGUUAACUGAAGUAUGAGGUAUUGUGAAACAGGAACCUUUUUGGAAUAGAGCAGUAAUCACAUUAAGUAAAAAUUGAUCACAUAAAAAAUCUACAAAAAAAAUGAUGUCAAUAAUAUAAUUUUCUAUGAGAAAAUUAAAACCUAUAACAUGGCAGUAUAUGACAUUGUAUAACAAAAAAAAAAAACUGAUCCACAAAAUAGCAGCAAAACACAAUGACAAAGAUACAGAAAAGCAAUGUUAAUUUUUUUUUUCAAACCAUGCUGGGAAUUUAUCCAUAGCAGCUCAAUAAAAAUGGAGCAUCCGCUCCUAUUCUUUUCUCUUUUUCUUUUUUUCUUUCUUUUUUUCUUUUUUUUCCUUUUCUUUUUUCUUUUUUUUUUUUUUUUUUUUACAAUCAACACCUUAGCGGCAGUUUUCUCACAUACAUUUCACCAUCACAUUCUCCUCGAGCAUCAACUUCAACAGCUAUGUCCACGUCCCUUCAGCUACUUCCUAAAAUAAUAAUAAAAAGAUACAUAGCCAAGAUGUGCAAAUUUUCUAUUUGUAGCUAAAUAAAAAAAAAAGGGGGGGGGGGCAUAUACUGGAAUAAGAACUUCUUUCAAGUACUCCAAUUUUCGUAUCUAUUAACUAUGGCGUUUUUUUCAUGGUUAGACUGCUACUGAAAAUGUAUAAGGGGCCAAAUAGACUGCUUUGUUUUGGGUUUGUUCUCUGAAGCGUGUCCUUUUUUCUUUAAUAAGCUGUGUUAAAACUGCAACGUCAAGGGUAGAAAGAUUUUUUUUUAAAAAAGGGGGCGAUUGCAUUAUUUUACAAAUCAUACUGGCCUUACGAACAUCCUCUGCAAUAAAUAUUCUUUUUAGCCUUAACUAUAAAUUAUAUAUUUUAGUGUUUAAAAACCUUCAGUUGUAAAACAUCUAGAGACAAUCCUUAAACUAUGUGUCCUAUAUGUGAACCUUUAAGGCCCCUAAUUUAUAAAAAUGUGUUGGCACCAAAGGAUUUCUAAACUUCAACUUUUCUAUAGAAAAGGAUAGGAAGAUAUCCUGGCAAUUUGUGAAUGCAAUUUCUCUCACUGGAACACAACCUUCGGAAAAAAAAAUCACCUUUCCUCUAACACCAUAGUUAAAUGCACUUGCCUUGCAAUUCCAAGUUUGCGAACAAGCACUUAAUAUAUUUCCAAACCAUUCCAUUAAAAAAAAAAUUCCCACACAAUAAAAGAAUGUAUUUCCUAUAUCUAAUGGACUGAAAGUGCUUUGAAUGGAAUGGUUUUAGAAUAUUACAAACAACAACAAAAAAAGACUAAACUGUGGAUUGAACCUGACCAUAAUUAGGCUGAAUAUCUGUGGGGUCAGACCAGCAUUUUUACACAGGUAACUACAAAAAUAUGAAGAUUACAAAAAUAUAAUAUAUUAUGUCACUAUUUCGGUUUCUCUUUAUAAUAGAGUAUCGUAUGAGUAGUACAUUGGCCUUUCCCAACAAUGCUAAGCUGGAACCCUACAAAUGCACAGGCAAUCCACAGGCACACACACACACACACACAAAAAAAAACAAAAGAUUAACAUAUAAUAAUGCUGUAUACUAACAUACACUAACUUAUGGGUUACGUUAACCAUUUAUAAGGUGAAGAGGAUAAAAAAAAAAACUAAGGAAAUAAAAUAAACAUUUACAGAUGAAUUAUAAAGUGACUAAAUGCAUAAGCAAGCAAGAUACAGAAAAGCCUAGAACUGCGUUAAAGCUAUGCUUUUUAAAGAAAAAAAAAAAGAAUAUUUCAUUUA